Daktulosphaira vitifoliae (grape phylloxera) is the source of this 1146-nucleotide long non-coding RNA. RefSeq lists it as uncharacterized. The record is from RefSeq and is a predicted model, not a curated record. Lineage: Eukaryota; Metazoa; Arthropoda; Insecta; Hemiptera; Phylloxeridae. The transcript has 3 exons.
UUAUAGUAAUUACCACAUAAAUAAUUAAUCUUAUUGAAAUUGAGUAGUCUUAACUUCUGCAUAAUUUAAUAUGUAAAGUAUGCAUCUUUGAAGAAUACAAAUUUUUUUGAGAAGUCUAUUAUUAAAAUUUUAAAAAUAAAUUAAAAUACAGAUAUUUAUUUAUUUUUUAAGUUUCAGGAAGAUACAAAUCAUAUAUUUAAUCUUGGUUAACGGGAAAUAGAUAAUGUUAAUUUACCAGGCACUUCAAAAAAUUAGAAAAUUUAGAUUUUCAACUAGCAUGUAUUAUGUAUUAAUACCUUAGUGGCUUAAUUACAGGAAUAGUUAAGGGAGUUUAAUUUAUUUCAAAUGUUUUAGAAAUAUUAUAAUACUGUAUAAUUACUAAGUACAUUAACAUAACUCUUACAUGAAUUCUAUUGUAUAUUAAUCAAAGUACCAUUAAAAUAAUUGAAAAAAUAAUUUUUAAAUGGUAGUGUAGUGUAUAAAAACAACUCUAAUAUUGUAUAAAACUCACAGUGCCUAAUAUUUGAUUUGCAUGGAUAAUUUUGUAUUUUUAACUAGUAAUAAAAAAUUUGGUUGAAAACACCUAGAAUGAAUCUAAUGGAUUUGGAAUUGGACAACAACCAGCUUUUUUCAAAAGUGAUAGACAAAAACACUACCCUUAGGGUAUCAUUUUAAUUCUCUUGGGGUAAUCAAACAAUUUUAGGGGAUGGCGCUAGAAUUUUAAAAGUUCAUAAUUAACGGCCACUCUAACUGACACUAAAUAGUAUCUCCCAGAUCUACUAAGAUUAUUAAUUAAAAGUAACAAAAAUUUCAUAAGUAGGCAGCUAGGAGACACCAAUUCAAUGCUUAUAAAAGAGUACUGAACAGAACAGUAAAUGACUGACUGAAGAGACUUCCAUUCUACUAGAGGAAUACUGUCAAUUUUAGUAGCUAAUAAAUAUUAAAAAUAUUUAACAAUUCUAUUUAUAAAAAUUUAUUAUUUUAUAUAUAUUUAAUUGUAAUGAUUGAUAAUAAAAAAUAAAUUCUGUUCUUUCAUAUUUACUAAUGACCAAUGUAUUGUAAAACAAAUUAUAAAUUAUAUUUAAUAUGUUAAAAUUUUCAGAAUACCUAGACAUAUUUUAUUAUUAUUAAAUUAUUACUUUGUAU